UACGUAGGGGCCGAGCGUUGUCCGGAUUCAUUGGGCGUAAAGAGCUCGUAGGCGGUUUGUCGCGUCUGCUGUGAAAUCCCGAGGCUCAACCUCGGGUCUGCAGUGGGUACGGGCAGACUGGAGUGCGGUAGGGGAGAAUGGAAUUCCUGGUGUAGCGGUGGAAUGCGCAGAUAUCAGGAGGAACACCGAUGGCGAAGGCAGUUCUCUGGGCCGUAACUGACGCUGAGGAGCGAAAGCGUGGGGAGCGAACAGG
Molecule: ribosomal RNA, 253 nt
Filed under: uncultured bacterium
Lineage: Bacteria
Description: partial 16S ribosomal RNA
Rfam family: Bacterial small subunit ribosomal RNA
Source: RNAcentral